CCCGAGCGGCCAAAGGGAGCAGACUGUAAAUCUGCCGUCACAGACUUCGAAGGUUCGAAUCCUUCCCCCACCA
This 73-nucleotide transfer RNA is filed under the name Enterobius vermicularis (human pinworm). It matches the Rfam family "tRNA", at positions 10 to 71 of the family's 71-position model. From Rfam's summary of the family: Transfer RNA (tRNA) molecules are approximately 80 nucleotides in length. Their secondary structure includes four short double-helical elements and three loops (D, anti-codon, and T loops). Lineage: Eukaryota; Metazoa; Nematoda; Chromadorea; Rhabditida; Oxyuridae. The record is from Rfam by way of RNAcentral. RNAcentral also lists the same sequence under 2 other names.